RNAcentral lists this ribosomal RNA (422 nucleotides) under uncultured bacterium. RNAcentral's name for it is "partial 16S ribosomal RNA". It matches the Rfam family "Bacterial small subunit ribosomal RNA", at positions 360 to 774 of the family's 1533-position model. The record is from RNAcentral.
AAUUUUGGACAAUGGAGACAACCCUGAUCCAGCCAUCAAGCGUGAGUGAUGAAGGCCAUCGAGCUGUACCGCACUUUUGGCUGAGACGCAAAGGCACUGGUUAAUACCUGGUGCUUCUCACGAUCCAUACAGAAUAAGCAACUGCUCGCUACGCGCCAUCAGCCGCGGUAAUACGUAGGGUGCAAGCGUUAAUCGGAAUUACUGGACGUAAAGGGUGCGUAGGCGGUUUUGCAAGAAGGAUAUGAAAUCGCGGGGCUUAACCGCGGAACUGCAUUCUUAACUGCCAGGCUAGAGUAUGUCAGAGGGGAAUAGAAUUCCGCGUGUAGCAGGGAAAUGCGUAGAGAUGGGGAGGAAUGCCGAUGGCGAAGGCAGCACCCUGGUAUAAUACUGACGCUCAGGCACGAAAGCGUGAGAAGCAAGCA